This 406-nucleotide ribosomal RNA is filed under the name uncultured bacterium. Its description in RNAcentral is "partial 16S ribosomal RNA". It matches the Rfam family "Bacterial small subunit ribosomal RNA", at positions 30 to 526 of the family's 1533-position model. The record is from RNAcentral.
AUUGAACGCUGGCGGCAGGCCUCACACAUGCAAGUCGAACGCGUGGCGGACGGGUGAGUAAUGUCUGGGAAACUGCCUGAAGGAGGGGGAUACCUACUGGAAACGGUAGCUAAUACAGCAUACCAUCAGAUGUGCCCAGAUGUGAUUAGCUAGUUGGUGGGGUAACGGCUCACCAAGGAGACGAUCCCUAGCUAGUCUGAGAGGAUGACCAGACACACUGGAACUGAGACACGGUCCAGACCCCUACGGGAGGCAGCAGGGGGAAAUAUUGCACAAUGGGCGCAAGCCUGAUGCAGCCAUGCCGCGUGUAUGAAGAAGGCCUUCGGGUUGUAAAGUACGUUCAUCGGGGAGGCGUUACCCGCAGAAGAAGCACCGGCUAACUCCGUGCCAGCAGCCGCGGUAAUUC